UGUGACAAUAAAGAACCAUUUCAGUUACAGGGGAGGUCAACUAAGCCAAUUUAGUUUCACUUAUUCUCCUCCGCAUAAUAACCUUUAUUCGGGAGGAAAUGAACUCAGUGGGCAUAACAGUGCAGUUUAGAUUCCCAGCACACUAAACAAUUUAAUUGCAGAAACACUUGUCUGUUAGUGUUGCAAGCUUCGGAGUCUCGUACGAGGAUUCCAUGGGGACUUCUUUCCUGGAUCUAGGGAGAGAAUUUCUGAAAAGCUGACCCCUCAAAAGGUGUUUAGAUGGCUGCCCUGUGAAAGUCUACUUGGAGAAUUUAUCUGGAACACAGUCAUCAUGAAGAGAAGCAACAGUCCUUUAUAUGCAAGAGGUAAAAGUGUGUCAGAUGAGGCUCUUCACUCCAAAACGGAAGAAGAUGGGAUUUUUGAGGACAUGGAGCCAUAUCUGGUGCGGAGGCUGUCUUGUAGAACUCUUCAGCUGCCUCCGCUGGCUUUCAGACUUGCAGAGCAAGCCGAAUGGGAUAAGAAGACAGAUGCUGACAGCCCGCAACGGCCAACUUCUCUCGCCCUGAGGAUCCCUCCACUGAUUGCAAUCACAGCUGCUGACUCUACCAGGUAG
Molecule: long non-coding RNA, 613 nt
Organism: Pseudophryne corroboree (corroboree frog)
Lineage: Eukaryota; Metazoa; Chordata; Amphibia; Anura; Myobatrachidae
Exons: 3
Source: RefSeq, a predicted model, not a curated record